CGCGCGCGCGCGCGCCCCUUUCCUCGGCCUGAGUUUCGCGGCGCGGCGGACAUGGCGGUGGAGUCCUGAGCUCGUCGUGUCCCGGCCUCCAGCGGCGGCGGCAGUGACGGCGGCGGCGGCGGCAGCGGGAGGCGGCGGGGGGAGCGGGAGCCACUGAGAUGAGGAGGCGCCGCGCGCGCCUGUAGCUCGCGGGCCUCGCAGGUAUUCUGAGGGUUGUGUUCCUUAUUGCCUGAAGUUAGGUGCAGUCGAGUGACCUGUUUCGGUAAACGAAAUGUGAGCAAAGGUAAUCACUGCUUUUUCUUCUCUCCCUGUUUUACUAAAAGUGAGAGGUUAGCAAAGCAGCUU
This 345-nucleotide long non-coding RNA is filed under the name Ursus americanus (American black bear). RNAcentral describes it as "lncRNA (ENSUAMG00000002679.1)". Lineage: Eukaryota; Metazoa; Chordata; Mammalia; Carnivora; Ursidae. The record is from RNAcentral.